UGAGAAUAAUCUCACAUUCAUCACACCAGACAGGACUGGGUGGGUGUUACCUUGCCAUGUAACAUUCCGGUGCGGUUCAUGGAAAUAUAAUACUGGCUCUUCAGUCCUUUUAUGGCCAACACGCCACCCUCUGAAACGGUCCUGAUCUCCAGAACACCUGAAACACAGCCAGUGAACCUGACGGGAUGGUGAUUGGCUUUCACCUGCUCUCGGGGUUUAAGGUCAGUCUAUUCUGAGUGGCAGGCAACAUUCGUGUUAAACCGUGGCUUUCUACAUUCCCUCAUAAUUGGUGAGCCCCUGGGAUCGGGGCUGGUAACGAAUUGAAUGGUGUGGAGAUGGGGGCGUGGUUGAGCGACGUUCUGUGGAGAGCGAGGCCGGGAGAGGAAGAGCUACCUUCUGCAGCACCAAGCAAAGAGAAAGACCACCCCUCAUGGGAGACCAUCACUGCUGGCCAAAUCACCACACAACACAUUCAGGCACAACACACAAACUCACA
Long non-coding RNA from Myxocyprinus asiaticus (Chinese sucker), 496 nucleotides. RefSeq lists it as uncharacterized. The transcript has 5 exons. Lineage: Eukaryota; Metazoa; Chordata; Actinopteri; Cypriniformes; Catostomidae. The record is from RefSeq and is a predicted model, not a curated record.